RNAcentral lists this long non-coding RNA (703 nucleotides) under Homo sapiens (human). RNAcentral describes it as "GTF3C2 antisense RNA 2, transcript variant 15 (GTF3C2-AS2)". The record is from RNAcentral. Lineage: Eukaryota; Metazoa; Chordata; Mammalia; Primates; Hominidae.
CUUUCCGGCCGGACUGCCGCGCCUGUGGCCGGAAGAGCCAGCUAGACCAGAGAGUCUGUACCUGCAACCCUGGCGGCGUCCGAGCCCAAGGCGGAGUCUGGGAGACAAAGAAGUCCUCGCCGCCGGCCGCUGGAGGAUUCUGCCAGUAGUGAAAGAUGGGGUCUCGUUAUGUUGACCAGGCUGGUCUUGAACACCUGACCUGAAGUGAUCCUCUUGCCUCAGCCUCCCAUAGUGCUGCGAUCACAGGUGCAUGCCUUCCUUAUUUCUCAUACUCAUCACCUCCUCUUCCCGCUUGGAACUGCCCACACUGGUGAUUUCCUUGUUAAGGAACUUGAUGGCGUUGUGCAUGCUCGCUGACAGGGGACGGCACUGAGUCAGGAAGCUAUAAUACAACAGCAAUACCUUAUAUCUGCGCAACUCUUCACAACUUACAAAGCCUUCACAUUUAAAAAAAAAGUCUUUAAAAAGAAAAUAGAACACAAAAUGAAAAGAGAGAUAGAAAAGCAGGAAAAAGAGUACAAGACAAAGAUUGGGCGAGCUGGGAGUGGACUUAUAGUGUUGUCCCUACCUCAUGUAGGGUUUUAGUUUAUUCACUAGAUCCCUGGAGAGUUCUUCAUUAGGCGGUGUUGUGUAAUCCUGAAUCACCUAUAGGGUACACAAGGUGAUCUGCAAAAUACCCCUUAAUAAAGAUCUCUGAACGGGG